AGCGGAUUAGCGGCGGACGGGUGAGUAACACGUGAGUAACCUGCCUUAGACAUUGGGAUAGCCUCGGGAAACCGGGAUUAAUACCAAGUAAAAUCAUAAUGACACAUGUCAUAACGAUCAAAACUCCGGUGGUCUAAGAUGGACUCGCGUCCCAUUAGCUAGUUGGUAGAGUAAAAGCCUACCAAGGCGACGAUGGGUAGCCGGCCUGAGAGGGUGAACGGCCACAUUGGAACUGAGAAACGGUCCAA
This 248-nucleotide ribosomal RNA is filed under the name uncultured Eubacteriales bacterium. RNAcentral describes it as "uncultured Clostridiales bacterium partial 16S ribosomal RNA". It matches the Rfam family "Bacterial small subunit ribosomal RNA", at positions 86 to 334 of the family's 1533-position model. Lineage: Bacteria; Bacillati; Bacillota; Clostridia; Eubacteriales. The record is from RNAcentral.